Small nuclear RNA from Mauremys mutica (yellowpond turtle), 141 nucleotides. RefSeq annotates it as U4 spliceosomal RNA. The transcript has a single exon. Lineage: Eukaryota; Metazoa; Chordata; Testudines; Geoemydidae. The record is from RefSeq and is a predicted model, not a curated record.
AGCUUUGCGCAGUGGCAGUAUCGUAGCCAAUGAGGUUAAUCCGAGGCGCGAUUAUUGCUAGUUGAAAACUUUUCCCAAUACCCCGCCGUGACGACUUGAAAUAUAGUCGGCAUUGGCAAUUUUUGACAGUCUCCUGUGAGA